Molecule: ribosomal RNA, 917 nt
Filed under: uncultured bacterium
Lineage: Bacteria
Description: bacterial SSU rRNA
Rfam family: Bacterial small subunit ribosomal RNA
Source: RNAcentral
ACGCUGGCGGCGUGCCUAAUACAUGCAAGUAGAACGCUGAAGAGAGGAGCUUGCUCUUCUUGGAUGAGUUGCGAACGGGUGAGUAACGCGUAGGUAACCUGCCUUGUAGCGGGGGAUAACUAUUGGAAACGAUAGCUAAUACCGCAUAACAAUGGAUGACCCAUGUCAUUUAUUUGAAAGGGGCAAAUGCUCCACUACAAGAUGGACCUGCGUUGUAUUAGCUAGUAGGUGAGGUAACGGCUCACCUAGGCGACGAUACAUAGCCGACCUGAGAGGGUGAUCGGCCACACUGGGACUGAGACACGGCCCAGACUCCUACGGGAGGCAGCAGUAGGGAAUCUUCGGCAAUGGGGGCAACCCUGACCGAGCAACGCCGCGUGAGUGAAGAAGGUUUUCGGAUCGUAAAGCUCUGUUGUAAGUCAAGAACGAGUGUGAGAGUGGAAAGUUCACACUGUGACGGUAGCUUACCAGAAAGGGACGGCUAACUACGUGCCAGCAGCCGCGGUAAUACGUAGGUCCCGAGCGUUGUCCGGAUUUAUUGGGCGUAAAGCGAGCGCAGGCGGUUUGAUAAGUCUGAAGUUAAAGGCUGUGGCUCAACCAUAGUUCGCUUUGGAAACUGUCAAACUUGAGUGCAGAAGGGGAGAGUGGAAUUCCAUGUGUAGCGGUGAGAUGCGUAGAUAUAUGGAGGAACACCGGUGGCGAAAGCGGCUCUCUGGUCUGUAACUGACGCUGAGGCUCGAAAGCGUGGGGAGCGAACAGGAUUAGAUACCCUGGUAGUCCACGCCGUAAACGAUGAGUGCUAGGUGUUGGAUCCUUUCCGGGAUUCAGUGCCGCAGCUAACGCAUUAAGCACUCCGCCUGGGGAGUACGACCGCAAGGUUGAAACUCAAAGGAAUUGACGGGGGCCCGCACAAGCGG